RNAcentral lists this ribosomal RNA (470 nucleotides) under uncultured bacterium. Its description in RNAcentral is "bacterial SSU rRNA". It matches the Rfam family "Bacterial small subunit ribosomal RNA", at positions 28 to 494 of the family's 1533-position model. The record is from RNAcentral.
GAUGAACGCUAGCGGCAGGCUUAACACAUGCAAGUCGAGGGGCAGCACGAGUAGCAAUACUUGGUGGCGACCGGCGCAAGGGUGCGUAACGCGUGAGCAACAUGCCCGUAUCAGGGGGAUAAUCCAGGGAAACUUGGUCUAAUACCCCAUAGUAAUCAUAUCAGGCAUCUGGUAUGAUUUAAAGCUUAGGUGGAUACGGAUUGGCUCGCGUGACAUUAGCUAGAUGGUAAGGUAACGGCUUACCAUGGCUAUGAUGUCUAGGGGUUCUGAGAGGAAGGUCCCCCACACUGGAACUGAGACACGGUCCAGACUCCUACGGGAGGCAGCAGUGAGGAAUAUUGGACAAUGGAUGGAAAUCUGAUCCAGCCAUGCCGCGUGAAGGACGACGGUCCUAUGGAUUGUAAACUUCUUUUGUAGGGAGCAAUAAGGUCUACGUGUAGAUCGAUGAGAGUACCAUACGAAUAAGCAUC